UUUCCCUCACACCGGAGGUCACAACAGAAAACAUGGCGGCUCCCAGGAAAGCGACCGUGGUGCUGAAGGCUGUGAAGAAAAUAGCGAUUCACUUUUCUCCGUUUGAGUCUAAUGUCCGGUCCACACGGGAGUUCCUGGCCCUGGUGGGCUCAGAGAAGGCCAGAGCUACCAACAGGAACUGUGAGGUUGUAGCCACGGUGAAACACGACAAGACUGAACCCGUAGUGGAUGUUACUUACCUUCCAGUCGGCUCCAAGUCUUUAAAAGCUUCCCUUGAGACAUGUCGACGUUGAGAGGGGGUCUAUAUACGUAAAUGAACUUGAUGCAGAGAAACCACUGUGGCGUACCGUUGAUGGAGAGAGGCUCGUGAUGAAAGGAGCAAAUUUGACCAGCAAGGAGAUGCUGAGUGCGUUUCAGUCACGGUGCACAGCCAAGGAUCCACAGGCAGCAGCAAAAAAAUAACGACCGUCAUGUUAAAUGUGUUGAAUUUAUCUGUACGUGUCAGUGUGUUGUUGGAUGUUUAUAAUAAAAGUAUUUCAUUUAAA
RNA transcript from Morone saxatilis (striped sea-bass), 545 nucleotides. It is a transcript of the gene named mitochondrial ribosomal protein L53, with no coding region annotated. The record is from RefSeq and is a predicted model, not a curated record. The transcript is spliced from 4 exons. Lineage: Eukaryota; Metazoa; Chordata; Actinopteri; Moronidae.